GAUCAUGGCUCAGGAUGAACGCUAGCUACAGGCUUAACACAUGCAAGUCGAGGGGAAACGGCAUUGAGUGCUUGCACUCUUUGGACGUCGACCGGCGCACGGGUGAGUAACGCGUAUCCAACCUUCCCAUUACUGUGGGAUAACCUGCCGAAAGGCAGACUAAUACCGCAUAGUCUUCGAUGACGGCAUCAGAUUUGAAGUAAAGAUUUAUCGGUAAUGGAUGGGGAUGCGU
RNAcentral lists this ribosomal RNA (232 nucleotides) under uncultured bacterium. RNAcentral describes it as "partial 16S ribosomal RNA". It matches the Rfam family "Bacterial small subunit ribosomal RNA", at positions 15 to 236 of the family's 1533-position model. The record is from RNAcentral.